This 76-nucleotide transfer RNA is filed under the name Cordylochernes scorpioides. Its description in RNAcentral is "tRNA-Thr". The record is from RNAcentral. Lineage: Eukaryota; Metazoa; Arthropoda; Arachnida; Pseudoscorpiones; Chernetidae.
AGUGUCAAGGGAUGGGAACCGAACCCACGACCUUCCGCUUACCGGGCAGAUGCCAUGACCACUAGGCCACAUGACC